Molecule: long non-coding RNA, 1059 nt
Organism: Numida meleagris (helmeted guineafowl)
Lineage: Eukaryota; Metazoa; Chordata; Aves; Galliformes; Numididae
Exons: 3
Source: RefSeq, a predicted model, not a curated record
UGGCAAUAGCGGUAUUGUAUGUUCUCUGGAGAAUUCUGUCUAUCUGAAGACUUUACAGGUCUUCUGUAGGCUUGCAAAAGCAGAAAACUACUGUUUGGAGUCAGUCUUCUUCCUCAAUAUUGUUCCUGAAGCCAUUGUGAGAUUGGCUUAUUUUCUGCUGAAUGGAGCAGAGUAUGCAGAUGACAAUGUUUGAAAGGAAGAAGCAAUUGGACACACAAUUCCUACCUCUAAGCCUUUCUUUUCCUAAUAGUUUUUAUCUGCUGCUAGUCAAGACCGCACAGCAUUUUUUUGGUUAUGUUAUCAAGAGUACAAAGUAUAUAUGCAUUUUGUGGUAAAUGGCAAGAUAUUAACUAUACUUGUGUGAAUAGCUUGUUUUUUUUUGGCUGAAAUUAAAAGCAAAACAAAGGUUUGUUAUUUGUACCUUUAUUUUUGGGGAGUUGCACAGGAUGUCUCCUUUGACCCAAAUGAAAUGUGUGAAUCAGCAGAUAUUUUGUCUUUAUUUCUGUGAGAGUAAGCCACACUAUUCAGGAAGAGUUCAGAUGACUUUUGCACUUCAGGCAAAUAAAUUAUUCAUCUAAAAACUUUCUCUUAAUCCUGAUUAGCACUGCACAGUAUUAGACUCCUGAAGUCCAAACAUACAAAGCUUGAUUGCUCUCGUUUGCAUGCUUGCAGUGAUAUACAUUCCCUGAUAAAACUGUUUUGUAUGUGGCACAGCAACCCUGUUGUUCAGCAAGUCAUGUUACUGUGAACAUGGAAAAUUCCUUGUACACUGCUCUGCUUUCCCACUGGAAGUGAGGGUUUUUGCUUUAAAAUUCAAAGCCCUUUAUGGGACUAGACUGUUAUUUCAGACACCUGGAUAAUGUUUUCUCUUCCUCACAUUAACCCUGAUUAUCAGUGCGGCCUGAUGAGAGAAGGGUGGAAAAUUGCAGCAAUACUGUGAUAAAUGAAAAUGUUGGUCUUACUAUUACACAGUCAUAUCCUUUCUAUUUUCACAAGUAGGGCUUGUGACAGCUGAAACAUUCCCUGUUCAUGGUAUCCAGGUACUGUGCCCAGCAUUCC